GCAUCCGUAGCUCAGCUGGAUAGAGUACUCGGCUACGAACCGAGCGGUCGGAGGUUCGAAUCCUCCCGGAGCACCA
Molecule: transfer RNA, 76 nt
Filed under: Escherichia coli
Lineage: Bacteria; Pseudomonadati; Pseudomonadota; Gammaproteobacteria; Enterobacterales; Enterobacteriaceae
Description: tRNA-Arg
Rfam family: tRNA
About the family: Transfer RNA (tRNA) molecules are approximately 80 nucleotides in length. Their secondary structure includes four short double-helical elements and three loops (D, anti-codon, and T loops). Further hydrogen bonds mediate the characteristic L-shaped molecular structure. tRNAs have two regions of fundamental functional importance: the anti-codon, which is responsible for specific mRNA codon recognition, and the 3' end, to which the tRNAs corresponding amino acid is attached (by aminoacyl-tRNA synthetases). tRNAs cope with the degeneracy of the genetic code in two manners: having more than one tRNA (with a specific anti-codon) for a particular amino acid; and 'wobble' base-pairing, i.e. permitting non-standard base-pairing at the 3rd anti-codon position.
Source: RNAcentral